GGCUCAGGAUGAACGCUAGCGGCAGGCCUAAUACAUGCAAGUCGAACGGUGUCUUCGGACAUAGUGGCGCACGGGUGCGUAACACGUAUGCAACCUACCUUACAUUGGGGGAUAGCCUUUCGAAAGGGAGAUUAAUACCGCAUAAGACAGUAGCUGGGCAUCCAGCAGCUGUUAAAGAUUUAUCGAUGUAAGAUGGGCAUGCGUCCAAUUAGUUAGUUGGCGAGGUAACGGCUCACCAAGACUUUGAUUGGUAGGGGAACUGAGAGGUCAAUCCCCCACACUGGCACUGAGAUACGGGCCAGACUCCUACGGGAGGCAGCAGUAGGGAAUAUUGGGCAAUGGACGCAAGUCUGACCCAGCCAUGCCGCGUGCAGGAUGAAGGCGUUAUGCGUUGUAAACUGCUUUUAUACAGGAAGAAACGACUCUUGCGAGAGGCAUUGACGGUACUGUAUGAAUAAGCACCGGCUAACUCCGUG
Molecule: ribosomal RNA, 476 nt
Filed under: uncultured bacterium
Lineage: Bacteria
Description: bacterial SSU rRNA
Rfam family: Bacterial small subunit ribosomal RNA
Source: RNAcentral